AACGAACGCUGGCGGCAGGCUUAACACAUGCAAGUCGAACGCGUGUAGCAAUACACGAGUGGCGCACGGGUGAGUAACGCGUGGAUAUCUGCCUCUUGGUUCGGAAUAACCCCGGGAAACUGGGGCUAAUACCGGAUGGUUCCUUCGGGAUAAAGAUUUAUCGCCAAAAGAUGAGUCCGCGUACGAUUAGCUAGUUGGUGAGGUAAUGGCUCACCAAGGCGACGAUCGUUAGCUGGUCUGAGAGGACGAUCAGCCACACUGGGACUGAGACACGGCCCAGACUCCUACGGGAGGCAGCAGUGGGGAAUAUUGGACAAUGGGGGCAACCCUGAUCCAGCCAUGCCGCGUGAGUGAUGAAGGCCUUCGGGUUGUAAAGCUCUUUUGGCGGGGACGAUGAUGACGGUACCCGCAGAAUAAGCCCCGGCUAACUUCGUGC
This 436-nucleotide ribosomal RNA is filed under the name uncultured bacterium. Its description in RNAcentral is "bacterial SSU rRNA". It matches the Rfam family "Bacterial small subunit ribosomal RNA", at positions 29 to 508 of the family's 1533-position model. The record is from RNAcentral.